Vidua chalybeata is the source of this 795-nucleotide long non-coding RNA. RefSeq lists it as uncharacterized. The record is from RefSeq and is a predicted model, not a curated record. The transcript is spliced from 4 exons. Lineage: Eukaryota; Metazoa; Chordata; Aves; Passeriformes; Viduidae.
UCUCCCGCUCGUCCUCCUUUUGCUAAUCCUGCCUCCUUCUCUUCCUCUAAUCCCGGCUCUUCUCCCGCUCCUUUCUCUUCUCCUCCUCCUCCAUCCCUUCUCCUGUUCCCCCCGGGCCCAGCGCCCACGGUUUGUUCACUUCUCGGCUUCUACCUGCGCAAGAAGAGCUCCUGAGCCGCCGGCGGCCGCAGCCGCUCCCGUGGCCUCGGGCCCGGCAGGGACCCCUCGCUCCGUCCCCGCGCUGAUUUUGGGGGGGGUCGUGUGUCCCCCCAGCCCUGCUGCUCCCAAUGUUCCCAUGCCCUCUGCGUCCGCAGCAGCUUCGGCCCCUGGAGCAGCUCCCCCACUCCCUCCACAUGCCACAGACUGUGGAACAUACUGGACACCUGCCAGAUGUGUCUGGUCUGCUCUGCAUCCUGCUCAGAAUUACAGACAGCAUCCUUAUGUCCCUUCAACAGACAUCACAGAGCCAUGUAAUCCAAACAAUUGGUGACUACCUCAUAGAAAACUGGGACUAUUGAAAUAACAGUUGAUAUAAAGACUCUAUUUGUCUACAAAUUGCAUUAUUUUUUCUUAAAGUUGAAUGAAGUUUUCUUAAAGUUGAAUGUUUCAAAGUUUUUUAAUUUCAGUUUAGAGUUAAGAUAUAACUUACAACUUUGUUUACAAACUGCUUUUCAUAUUUACAAACUUUUUCUGCUUAAAAAAUUUUUCUAGUUUUCUAUUUAUAGAUUGUUUAUUUUAGUAGUUAGACUUUAUUUAACAGUUUUAAGAGUUAAGCAGCUUGUUGUUGUUAAAAAU